CAAGUGUUCACUUAAAAUCUGUAUUAAAGCACUCUCUCCUGCUUUUCUGCCUUAAUUACCUUAAUUAAGGCAGACAUCAGUUACUUUGAAACUCUCAGUAUAAUACAUCAAGUCUCUCAAAGCUUUGCUUUAAUAAUUGGAGGGAGAAUGUUGCCAAAGUCCAGAAGAAUUUUGAAAUGUGAUUUAUAGUUCUUCUGCUAGGUAGACUUCACCAACUAAAUUUAAGACGUAUUACACCAAUUACUAACUCUAGUGUUAGUGCAGUUGCAAACAAGGCAGAUGAACACAGACUUUAGCAUUUCCUGAUACAGACAUUUGACUCGCAGUAGUUUAUGUAGGCCUUCUGAAGCAAUUCCUGGAAUUGGCAGAAUUGCAGUUUACCUCUUCUCAGUGCUCUGUUCUUACAGUGCCGUCACUGCAGUUAACCAUAAAGGUCCAAGGGGAACAGUUCUUGUCAACACCGACAAACUGUAAAAAUCUAGAGUUUUUUUCGCCCUACCAGGGAUACUAACGCUUUGUUGGUGUAGGUGGAGUAAAAGCCCAGACUUGCAGGCUGUAGGUUACCCUCUGUGCUUGCUGAAAGAUCAGCUGCAGGUUGCUGUUCAGUCCUGAUGUGUUGGGCUAGUGGUGACUGCCAUACUUUGAAGCCUACUGGUUAUAUGAAAGAUGGCCUGCUGUUAGCUUAGGGUCCAAAUACAGCCUUUAAGACAGUUGUUCCCCUGCUUCCUGGCCUUUUAAAAUGCCUAAAAAUAGCAAAUGUUCACUUUUCUUUGGGGAUUUUCUCUAGAUUGCUGACUCAUAGAUGCAAAGUCAGGUGAAAUUCAGCAAGAUUUAUAAGCUAGUGCUUACUGCUAUGCAUACAAACCGGUAAUAUCUUCAGGUCCCAGCUGGAAGCAGUAUAGCUGCUGCUCCUGAGCUCCAUGGAGAAUUGCAGUUCACACGAAAGAGCUGGGUCUGUAUGGAGCGGACCUCUGUGUCCCAGGACUGCCCCGGUUGUCUUCAACUGCUGCACAGUGUUGGGUCUGUCGCAGUGAUGCUGGCUUCUGCAGAGCCACUCCAAAGACUUCAAAUGUUGGAUUCUCCUCAUGUCUCUUGGCAAGUUAUUCUGGUGGCUAGAAGUAAGAUACAAAUAUUUGUCUAAUAUUGACUGCAGGAAAAAGGCAUAAGAUGAAGAGAAAUCAGUUGUUUGAAGUCUCUUCUUGAUUUAGGUUGUAAUUAAGUUGUGGUUUAAUGUUCUCUUAUUUAAGACAUCACUUUACCUCAGUAUAAG
RNAcentral lists this long non-coding RNA (1270 nucleotides) under Apteryx rowi (Okarito brown kiwi). RNAcentral's name for it is "lncRNA (ENSARWG00000009059.1)". The record is from RNAcentral. Lineage: Eukaryota; Metazoa; Chordata; Aves; Apterygiformes; Apterygidae.